RNAcentral lists this long non-coding RNA (390 nucleotides) under Homo sapiens (human). Its description in RNAcentral is "HSALNT0119565". Lineage: Eukaryota; Metazoa; Chordata; Mammalia; Primates; Hominidae. The record is from RNAcentral.
GUCUUCCUCAACGAGAGAUAGCCAUGUCAGGGUAGCCCAGUCAUUUUUUUGUGUUCACCUUACUGGUCUUCUGCUAUAGUUUGUUACCUGGACACUGUAGCGGCUGUCCACUUUCUGUAGUGUAUGUGUUCUCCCUAAUACGACUCUUCCUUUCUCCUGGAUCUAUACACCGCUGACACUUCAUCUUCCUAAAGUGCAAUUUGCAUCACAUCACUCUCCUCAGAAACUUUCAGAGGCAAAUUCAGGAUGGAAGAGGAAAGCACAGUAAAGGUUCCUGCUCAAGUUUUCCCCAUUUCCUCUGCCUCCUGACAAACCCCAGUGGUUGCCCAUGUGGCCCUACGUGGUGGCCAUGCCUUCUGUUUCCAGGGAUCUAUGGAGUCUUGCUCUGUC